GUCCACGCCGUAAACGGUGGACGCUGGAUGUGGGCACGUUCCACGUGUUCCGUGUCGGAGCUAACGCGUUAAGCGUCCCGCCUGGGGAGUACGGCCGCAAGGCUAAACUCAAAGAAAUUGACGGGGCCCGCACAAGCGGCGGAGCAUGCGGAUUAAUUCGAUGCAACGCGAAGAACCUUACCUGGGCUUGACAUGUUCCCGACGACGCCAGAGAUGGCGUUUCCCUUCGGGCGGGUUCACAGGUGGUGCAUGGUCGUCGU
RNAcentral lists this ribosomal RNA (260 nucleotides) under uncultured bacterium. RNAcentral's name for it is "partial 16S ribosomal RNA". It matches the Rfam family "Bacterial small subunit ribosomal RNA", at positions 793 to 1055 of the family's 1533-position model. The record is from RNAcentral.